CUGGGUCGUGACCCAUAGGUUGGGAACCCGUGUGCUAGAGGAUGGUGCCAUUGAGCUGUAGAAACAGAAUAUAGUAUAAUGUAAUGUUAGUAUAGUGUGUAUAGUAUAAUGUAGGACUUUUCAUCCUACAGAUACUAGAGGAGCUUUUUUAUGAUUAUUACGAGUCCGACUAGGCCCGUAAUGGGAUAUAUAGGGGUUAGCGAUGAGUUUCAAUGUAUCCAGGUCAAAAUAUCUGUAAAAAUUUCAGGAUUUGACCUAGGUUUCCACAAAGUAGGUGGGUGCCUUUACUAUCUAUGUAAUCUGGCCAUCAAUAAGAGCAUUAAAAACACUUUUGUUCAUCUUUAAUAAUAAUAUAUAUUAUCUACAGGAUGGUUAUAAUUAAAUUAAUCCUUAUCAGAACCCAGUUCUAAUGAAUAUACAUUAAUGAAACUUGUUUUCUACAGUAACUUGCAUAACAUUACAACAUUACUUGUUCUUGAAGUGCCAUAUUUUUGUCUAUUGGUGAAAAUUUGAACUAAUUUUUGUUUCCCAGAGAUUUAUUGUGAAUAGCACAUAUACGAAGUUUCAUUGGCACAGGUCCGAGUAUGGUCGGUUUAAUAACUGUCAUAUAUAAGAUAUAAGCGUUGUUAUCAAAAUUAACUGUUUUGUAGAUUUAUGUAAAGACAGUUGUCUUUUUCUCAUUUUAAAGCAAACUUUAGUUAUUUGCUGCAUUUUUUAAAUCAAAUAUUAAGAAUUAAAACUUACUUUCACGUAGUUUCAAACCUCGGAGAAAUCUGCAAAUUUAAAGAACAGUGUUUAGUAAAUGACGCUCAUACGGAAUGUAUGUACUCCAGUAAUCCGGAAGUAUCUCAUCACGUCUGCAGAUGUGCCACCGGUUAUGAGAAAGGAUAUUCUAACGGGAAAGAAAAAUGCAUUCGAGUUUAUCGGACGACCGUGUACGAGAAGAAUGCCAAAAUUUUACACUUUUUUGGAAAUGGUGACAGUGUCCCAAUUAUAAUGAGCUGUCUGGCUGCCUUUUUGGCACUGUUUGCUUGUUUUGCCGGAAUAUUUCAAUUCCUAAGGCGAAAGCAAACUAGCAGAAGCAGCCUGAGAUGUGGAGAUCCCCAGCAUCCUCAGGAGGUUGUGACGCUUAACGGCUCGACCCCGACACAGCCGUAUCCGUCGUCCGACAUGUCUCCGUCUCGUACGCCAGAUUCGCUAGAAUCUGUUGAUUUAAGUUUGAAUUUAUGUUACUGGUUUAAUUCAGAAUUUUAUUAUUAUAUUUUGAGAAGCUUAUUUUGAACGUUUUGAUUGAAUUUGCACCAAACUCGACAAUUGCCGAUUCGUUCAUUCCAGUGGAAGCUUGCCAGAACGACUUUCCACCAAGUUACGAAGAAGUCGUUAACAGCACAAAAGUAACAACGAUCCAAGAAGAGGAGGAGGAUGAAGACGAAAUCGAGAACGACAGAGACGUUGCAACACCGCGAGGUCAAAAUGCAAUCCGACAGAACAUAUAAUUUCGUGACUACGUCGAAAGUAUGUAUAAGCCAAAUAUGUUAAUUUCUAGCUGACUUCGGAAACUUCAGGUCAGAGGUCAUUAUAAUUUAAACGACUAAAAUGCAUAUUUAUCGUCAUUUAUAUCGGUAUUAACAAAAGGAGCUUUUCUAGUUUCCUAGUUGAUUUUAAAAUCAUAAAGAAAAAAAAAACAACUCAGUACACUCAAAAUACACAGUAACACAAUUGAGUACGACUAAACAAGUCUUAAAUUACCACACCGGAAUUCACUGACAC
This 1770-nucleotide unclassified non-coding RNA is filed under the name Centruroides sculpturatus (bark scorpion). RNAcentral describes it as "uncharacterized LOC111619096, transcript variant X2". Lineage: Eukaryota; Metazoa; Arthropoda; Arachnida; Scorpiones; Buthidae. The record is from RNAcentral.